CCUUUGACAAUUUCAUCGUCUAACUUUAUGCAACGAAAAAAUUUCCCUAAUUUGUGGACAAAUUAAGUUAUUUUAAAUUUUCCAUGAUGGAUGAAGUAAAAAUGUUUUGAUAAUAAAUUGUUAAAAUGAUUGUAAUUGCAAUAGGGAAAAAUAUUCGAUUCUUGAUAUCAUCGUUGGAUUUGACAAGGCAUCGUAAUCGAUUUAUGAUGGAUCGAUCGUCGAUCAAAGUAGUAUGACAAUAACAUAAUAAUUAGUAUCCAUAAGACAAUAGUUUCGUACAUAAUGCUUAGACGAAACCGGUUUUCAGGUAGAUUAUUCCUUAUCGAAACGAAAUGAGUAAUUCUUUCUACGCAGAAUUCUAGUUGAUCAUAGCCAAUAUACUUUUUUUGCCACUUGAAGAAAAGAAAAAAAAAAGUAAGAUAAAUGUUAACCUGAACGACCCAGUAAACCAGAAUUCUAACUGUGUCAACAGGCAAGAUUAUGCACGCAUACGCAUCCGGCAAUAUAGUUUCUAAUAACUCGUCACUUACGCCCUUCUUCGAUACACGUAUGCAUAAGCGGAAAAGGGGACGUCGAUCGAUGAUGAUAACACGUAACAUCGUGUUGAUUAGAUGAAUUGAAGAAUUGUGAGACAGGUGGAUUAAAUUAUCUCAAUUUUGGCCAAUUUAAUGCUUAAUCCUUCUUUCAAUUUAAUUGUAACGAGUUUAAAUGUUAAGUGAUGAAUGGAAGAAAUGUUUUGAUGAGGCAUACUGGAUUCAGGUUAUGUUCGGUUAACUGUUAAUCAUGGCGAUAACUUGGUUGAUUCUGAAACUGAUGCAAAUAUUCAAGAUAAGUGAGGCUUGCUGGAAAGAUGCUGAAAUUGAGAUUUAGAAAUAUAAACAGUGAUUGAAAAAGUAUCAAUGAAUCAAGUGCAAUUGAAUACAUUUGUAUUUGUGAAACUAUUAUGGAUUACCAAAGAACAAUACUUUUCUGUGUAAACUUGGUGAAGUGAAAUAUGGAAAUAAAGAAAAUUUAUUUUCUUAUUUUCUGCACUUUCUAUUGUUUCCACAUUAGCAUGUGGAUUCCACACUUCUUUAGUGACGCUUCAACGAAUGAUUGUUUAUAGAGAUCGAUCAUACAAUGAAACCUAACCUGUAAAUAAAAAUUAUAUUUUUCAUCAAAAUAAGAAUAGAAUUA
This is a long non-coding RNA of Apis laboriosa (Himalayan honeybee), 1176 nucleotides long. RefSeq lists it as uncharacterized. NCBI's taxonomy places the organism in Eukaryota, Metazoa, Arthropoda, Insecta, Hymenoptera, Apidae. The transcript is spliced from 3 exons. The record is from RefSeq and is a predicted model, not a curated record.